RNAcentral lists this ribosomal RNA (402 nucleotides) under uncultured bacterium. Its description in RNAcentral is "bacterial SSU rRNA". It matches the Rfam family "Bacterial small subunit ribosomal RNA", at positions 355 to 774 of the family's 1533-position model. The record is from RNAcentral.
UGGGGAAUCUUGCACAAUGGGGGAAACCCUGAUGCAGCGACGCCGCGUGAACGAUGAAGCCCUUCGGGGUGUAAAGUUCUUUCGACAGGAACGAUAAUGACGGUACCUGGAGAAGAAGCUGCGGCUAACUACGUGCCAGCAGCCGCGGUAAUACGUAGGCAGCGAGCGUUGUUCGGAGUUACUGGGCGUAAAGAGUGCGUAGGCGGCGAGCCAAGUUUGGUGUGAAAUCUCCCGGCUUAACCGGGAGGGUGCGCCGAAAACUGGUUGGCUGGAGUAUGGGAGAGGAAAGCGGAAUUCCUGGUGUAGCGGUGAAAUGCAUAGAUAUCAGGAGGAACACCUGCGGUGUAGACAGCUUUCUGGACCAAAACUGACGCUGAGGCACGAAAGCGUGGGUAGCAAACA